This 3326-nucleotide long non-coding RNA is filed under the name Ananas comosus (pineapple). RNAcentral's name for it is "long non-coding RNA (ACOM_LNC034751)". The record is from RNAcentral. Lineage: Eukaryota; Viridiplantae; Streptophyta; Magnoliopsida; Poales; Bromeliaceae.
UAAUAUUAUAUUUCUCGAACUCUUCUAUCCAUGGCAUUUUCUUUGCCCCAUGAUUCCCUUUCCUUGGACUCUUAAUGAAAAUUUAUGGGUUCUCUCUGGAUAAUUAUUUCAGCUUAAGCAAGUGUAAAGCAUAUAUGCUUGGCAGAUUUGAUAAGAGAAAAAAUGCUCUGUAAUUUUCGCCAUUGAUAGCCAGAGGUGCUUUGCGGCGUUAGAGCGAGGUUCUCUGAAAACUGUACGCCAAGAGGGUCUUGUGCACCAACACUGUGUCUUAAGUGGUGUUAUCCACAUUAGAAAAUUAAAUUUCAUCAUAAGUCCGAGUAUUAGGAAAAAUUGUAUCAUCGAAAAUUUAAUGAGAUAAAGAGUUUUAGAAAUAUAAAAAACAUCUGAAAAAAUUUUUAUCCUGAUUUCUAGAAGGGAGUACCAGACGGGACCUACUUUAAAAAAGAUUUGGAAACUUAGUUUAUUUUCUAAAAACGGAGAUUUUAAAUUUGCACUUCAUCCUAUUUUUAUUCAUACUACAAAUAUCUUUCAAGACAUACAUUAUUUUCUUUCCGUUCCUUUUUUACUGUGAACUGUCCAUCAAACAAUCUCAUCUAAAUAUCCACCUAUCCAUCCCAACUAAAUUAAUAUUUAAUAACGACCAACAUCGUUUCCGCCUACAAACACACUUUAAUUUAAGUUUUUAAAAAGCUUUCUCCGUGCAUACCACCUAGAAAAAUUAACACUAAUUACGCCACUUAAAUUUUAGACCGAAAAAAUUUAUAAAAAAUCUUAAAAAAGCAGAAAUAUUCAAUACCCAAGAAAUAUUUCUAGCUAUAUCAGAAAAAUUCUCAAAAAAUACCCAAAAAAUUGUUAAAAAUCCAACUUUCUCACCUUGCGUAAUUAGCACUAAUUACGCCACUUAAAUUUUAGACCGAAAAAAUUUAUAAAAAAUCUUAAAAAAUCAGAAAUAUUUAAUACCCAAGAAAUAUUUCUAGCUAUAUCAGAAAAAUUCUCAAAAAAUACCCAAAAAAUAGUUAAAAAUCCAACUUUCUCUUGUGCAUUUUUCGGUAUUUUAAUUUUCAGUAUAUUACAUAAUCUGACCCAACUCUACUAUUUCCGCAUAAUCCUAAAAAAUCCCAAAAAAUAUUUUAAAAAUCUCUUUUAGGUUUUUGCUUCUUUCAAAGGUUUGUUUUUCCUCAUACCUUAGGGUUUUCAUAAAUAGACUAGGGUUUUCUCCAUACUUCCUAGGGUUUUAUUCUAAGGGUUUUUAUAACAACAGACUUGUAGUUUGUGUUUAAAAAUCAUUUCCGCACCCUCUUCUAAACACCUUCUUCUAAACCCUAAACCCUAAAACCUUAAGCUUGGAACUAGCCAAGCCUAAACUCUCUAGCCCCCUGUUGUUACCUUCCCCCCUGUUUGGUAUCAGAGCCAAGACUUUCUUGGUACACUAAGACUAAUUAGCUUUAUCACUUAGUUAUUUUAAUAAACUUUUACAAUCAAUUCAACAGCCUCGUUUUCUUUUAAACAAGACAGAGAAAAGAAACGAAGACAAAUCUUCCUUUAAUACAACCACAUUAUUGAUAAUAGUGAAUACAACCACAUUAUUGAUAAUAGUAAAUCUUUUUUAGAUUUAUCCUCAAUGCAACCACAUUAUUGAUUUUAUGCCAAAAAGAAAGGCUCCAGAUAACAAUAUAGAUCAACUUUUCCGUAACAUCACAGACCAACCUUUUUCCCUAACAACUUUCAUUUUAACCUUACUUCUCUUAGGAUUUCCAGAAGACAUCAUAUAUAAUAUUUUAGAUAUAUUAAUAAUAUAUUGGGAAACUUUUGCCCCAUACCUUAUUACUUGGCCUUUUCGAUAUAUUGGAAGAAAAUAAUAAUUUUAUUCUAAGACUCUCAAAACUGGAUAAAGACAUAGCAUUAUUUUUACUAAACGAAUCAAUCUUUAGAUUCCUUUUAGUAUGCUUGUAUUAUCUCAUUGAACCAAUUCUAGACUUUCUUUACACUCCCUACCUUUUACAAACUUUUAUUAUAAAUUCUUUAUCUUUAGGAGUUCCACUCCAUAUUUUAAUUAGCAUUAUACACCUUAUAUAUCAGCUUUGGGAAAUAGACCCUUUUCUUGUAUUUCAAAUCUUUAGACAAUAAUUAACACACUGGCUAAUCAAGACAAAGACGAAAUAUUGCCAGACUACGAGGAAUACGAAGCCGAUAAUAACGACAACGACAACGAAAAUUUAAGACAAUCAGAAGACAAUAACAAUAGUGACGAAGACAGUUCAGACUAUAGUGAAAAUACUACAAGCCCAAGACAAUUUAACUGGCGAUACAAUAUCGUUCAUAUUGGAAGAAGAAGAUUUUUGGAAAUUACAGUCGAAGACGCUUUUGACAUAGACGCCUUCACCUUUAAUACUAUGGGCCGUUUAAGGAAAUAUCACAAGUUAGUUAGGACUAUACGUGCUAACUAACUUGUUAGCACUAUACUGCAUGGGGUAAAUGAAAAUUAGUGAAGUUUCACCAGCAGUAAUCGGCCCGUGAUUGCCUGGCCUCUAAACACGGCCUGGCCUUGAUAUAGUGCUAACAAGUCCCCAUAGGAGCGGGUUUAAAGAUCCCCAUAGGAGCGGGGAUUAGCACAAGUUUUAUCAAGGACUUCAACGGCCGCAGUAUUCUCCUCCCAAACCACCUCUUCCUUCGGCUAUAAAGGAAGAACCCCCUCCUCCUCUCCAAGCAGGAUAAGGAGAUAGCGCAGAUAGAAAUCAAGCAAGCUCUCUCCAAGCAUUAGAGAAAAUCCUACUUAGUCCCUGCCUUAUGUAAAAAUUGCGCUGAAGCUAAAAGGAAGAUCAUUUCGACGACAAGUGAAGAAUGAAGCUAGCCUCUUGUUAAAUAUAGCAUCCCAGCUCCACAAAUAAAUCCCCAAUAGCUUUUAUUUUCCUUCCCUUCCUGUAAAAAUUUAUCUUUUUCUCAACUGCAUUCUGGCGUGAAGAGUCUGUACAAACAAGUCCUUUCUUUCCCCCCGGGAAGUCCCGGAAGGGAAACCUUCUAGCGUUGUGAUGUAAGUUUUAUUUCUUGUUUAAUAUUAUAUUUCUCGAACUCUUCUAUCCAUGGCAUUUUCUUUGCCCCAUGAUUCCCUUUCCUUGGACUCUUAAUGAAAAUUUAUGGGUUCUCUCUGGAUAAUUAUUUCAGCUUAAGCAAGUGUAAAGCAUAUAUGCUUGGCAGAUUUGAUAAGAGAAAAAAUGCUCUGUAAUUUUCGCCAUUGAUAGCCAGAGGUGCUUUGCGGCGUUAGAGCGAGGUUCUCUGAAAACUGUACGCCAAGAGGGUCUUGUGCACCAACACUGUGUCUUAAGUGG